GGUUGAUCCUGCCAGUAGUCAUAUGCUUGUCUCAAAGACUAAGCCAUGCAUGUCUAAGUAUAAAUAGUUUUAUACUGUGAAACUGCGAAUGGCUCAUUAAAUCAGUUAUAAUUUACUUGAUUAUAUUAAAUUUUACUUGGAUAACCGUAGUAAUUCUAGAGCUAAUACAUGCAAAAAUAUCAAACUUUUAGGAAUGAUAGUAUUUAUUAGAUACAAAAAUCAAUAUAUUAAAUUGAUGAUUCAUAAUAACUUAACAAAGCGAGAGAUUCUAUCUUUUGCUGAUACAAACAAGU
Molecule: ribosomal RNA, 293 nt
Filed under: uncultured eukaryote
Lineage: Eukaryota
Description: partial 18S ribosomal RNA
Rfam family: Eukaryotic small subunit ribosomal RNA
Source: RNAcentral